UUGGCGCCUCCAACGAAUUCAAGCAAUGGGAGCACUGCAUUACAAGUAUCGAAUCUUCAAAUUAGUUGUUCCCAUUCAGAAUCAAAUUUCUUUCCAAUAUCUAGUUUCUUUACCAUGUUUAACUCCUCCGCCAGUUUGGAUCAUUUAGAUCUAUAUAUGACUAAAAUUGUUAGCCUUCCCACGAGCAUCAAAGAAUUCGUUGCGCUAGCUCAACUUUUCCAUUAUUGUGGAAGGUAUGUAAGUGUGAUCUCAUUUUUAUACAAGAAUGAAGUAAGUCUCCCCUGUUCCUUUGAUUUUCAAGUAAUAUUUAAUUUCCACCUCUCUGCGUAUUAUAAUUUUUUCCAUUGUAAAUUUAAUUUUUGUUUCUUGGAUGAUGAUUUUACUUAUAGCCAUUACAUAGUUGAUGCCAUGGUGCUUCAUAACCAUUCUGCGUGAAGAUGGUUGUUUUGGCGGAAUCUUCAAUUGUUGUUUUCUAUUCCCCUGUUGUGUCAGCAAACAAACUAUGUAUGGAGAGAUGCAUGCGCAAUUCAAUUAAUGAUAACCCCAAGUAAAAGAAUGGGAAAUUUCAUCAAAUGAAGAACUGCGCUUAUGGCCGCCACCUCCAUUGCCAGCACUAGAAUAUUUGAAUCUCAGCAAUUGUGUCCUAUCAAAGUCUGACUUCUUUACAGCAUUUCAUUUCUCAUCCACUUUGGGAAUGUUAGAACUGUCAAGGAGUGAUAAUGUUAUCCUUCCUGCAAGCAUCAAAAGAUUUGUUGGAUUGAGGUGCCUUAUGACAUGAUCAUUGGUUAAGGGACAACUUGAGGACGCACUUUCAGGUGGAAUUAUAUUUCCGGGGAAUAGGAUUCCAGACUGGUUUAGCAAAGAUGGAAAGUUUCAAAGAAAGAGGCAUUCUUCGACUUGGUUGGGAUAUCUGUUGAAAAUUUAAAUGGAUGAUCCGUACUCCAAACUUUGUGUCUGAUGUUCCACACAACAUAUUAGCUCCUUGUUCCUCCACGUAUUGAUCACUUCUAGCUAUCAGCUAUGACCUUUGCUUAAAGCAAUAUUGACUUCUUGUUUGAGAUGUCUCAUACCAUGUUGAUAACAAUUUAUAUUUUAGUAUAAUGACUUUAUCAUAGACCUAUAUAUACUCUAGCAAUGAAAUCUGAUCUUUAAGACUUAAUCUGGCUUUAUUAUAUAUACUCUAGUAUAAUGACUUUAUCAUAGCCCUAUUCUAUGCCCCAAGAACUUGGUGAUGCUCGAUAUAACAUAUUCCUUCACAUACUGACUUCUGUGACAUUGGCUUAAAGCAAUAUUGACUUGUUGGAGAUAGAACUACACACACUCUUCAAUGAAAUAAAAUUCCCUUAAUCUACAGAGGUUGCAUGUGUAUUUGCAGUAUUGCUCAUGUUGGAUGAGAAAAAACACAACCACAUUGAUGCAAAGAAUAUUAUUGCUC
Long non-coding RNA from Juglans regia (Persian walnut), 1435 nucleotides. RefSeq lists it as uncharacterized. The transcript has 3 exons. The record is from RefSeq and is a predicted model, not a curated record. NCBI's taxonomy places the organism in Eukaryota, Viridiplantae, Streptophyta, Magnoliopsida, Fagales, Juglandaceae.